This 127-nucleotide small RNA is filed under the name Marmota monax (woodchuck). The record is from RNAcentral. Lineage: Eukaryota; Metazoa; Chordata; Mammalia; Rodentia; Sciuridae.
GCUGGGCGUGGUGGUGCAUACCUGUGAUCCCAACAGCUUGGGAGGCUGAGGCAAGGGGAUUACAGGUUUGAGGCCAGCCCCAGCAACUUAGUGAGGCCCUAAGCAACUUAGUGAGACCCUAUCUCAA